AUAAAUUACAAGCGUCAACUCACCAAUUGAACGGUUCACGUCUUUUAAAAAGGAAUUCCACAUUCCUGUCAAUGGUUUUCUAAACUUAUCUUUCAAGAUGGCAGCAUACAAUACAAUAGGUAGAUCUAAUGACUCAAAAAUAGCACGAAUCUUCAUCUGAAAGGUAUGUCCGGCAGAAGGUUUUCUUGGAAUUCCGUUUUGAUUACUGAAAAUAACAAGAGAAUAAUUGUCUUGGUAUAAAGCCUUCAAUUUUGGGACAACGCUUGGAUGCCACCAGGUCCAGUCAGCUGCAUCUUUUGAAAAUACUCUACCAGAUUUAGUUUUUAUGAGCGUUCCAUCUAAAUCAAAUGCAAUAAAUUUUUUAGUCUUUUUUAGUUUUCCAUACUUUGCUAUGUAUAAUGAAUCGGUGAUGCUCCAUUGAAUUUCUAUUUUCUGUUGAAGGCAUGUCGAGGAUGAAUCAGAAUCUUUGUUUUGAGAGCCGUACUUUUUUGAGGAUUUAGACGAUUUUUCAAAAUAUGAAGUUAAAGAUUCCUGGGGGGGAGACUUUCUUUUUUUCGACGACAUCGCGAUUGACGAAAUACUAAAUGGGACUUGGUAAUUGAGUUAGCUAUAUUAUAAUUGCAUAGCAAUGAAAAUGGGUGGUUUCAAUA
Non-coding RNA from Schizosaccharomyces pombe (fission yeast), 650 nucleotides. Lineage: Eukaryota; Fungi; Ascomycota; Schizosaccharomycetes; Schizosaccharomycetales; Schizosaccharomycetaceae. The record is from the annotation of a GenBank genome assembly.